This 267-nucleotide signal recognition particle RNA is filed under the name Neobacillus cucumis. RNAcentral's name for it is "Bacterial large signal recognition particle RNA". It matches the Rfam family "Bacterial large signal recognition particle RNA". From Rfam's summary of the family: The signal recognition particle (SRP) is a universally conserved ribonucleoprotein involved in the co-translational targeting of proteins to membranes. Archaeal SRP consists of a 7S RNA and homologues of the eukaryotic SRP19 and SRP54 proteins. Lineage: Bacteria; Bacillati; Bacillota; Bacilli; Caryophanales; Bacillaceae. The record is from Rfam by way of RNAcentral.
CCGUGCUAGGUGGGGAGGCAGCGGUGCCCUGUACCCGCAAUCCGCUCUAGCGGGACUGAAUCCCUUCCCGAGGCUUUACGACCUGUAGGGUCUGCCUUAAGUAAGUGGUGUUGACGCCCAGGUCCUGCGCAAUGGGAAUCCAUGAACCAUGUCAGGUCCGGAAGGAAGCAGCAUUAAGUGGACGCUCCCAUGUGCCGCAGGGGUUGCCUGGGCCGAGCUAACUGCUUAAGUAACGCUUAUGGGCGUAAGUCGACGGAAGGUGCACGG